RNAcentral lists this ribosomal RNA (328 nucleotides) under Enterococcus faecium. Its description in RNAcentral is "bacterial SSU rRNA". It matches the Rfam family "Bacterial small subunit ribosomal RNA", at positions 1206 to 1533 of the family's 1533-position model. The record is from RNAcentral. Lineage: Bacteria; Bacillati; Bacillota; Bacilli; Lactobacillales; Enterococcaceae.
GACCUGGGCUACACACGUGCUACAAUGGGAAGUACAACGAGUCGCGAAGUCGCGAGGCUAAGCUAAUCUCUUAAAGCUUCUCUCAGUUCGGAUUGCAGGCUGCAACUCGCCUGCAUGAAGCCGGAAUCGCUAGUAAUCGCGGAUCAGCACGCCGCGGUGAAUACGUUCCCGGGCCUUGUACACACCGCCCGUCACACCACGAGAGUUUGUAACACCCGAAGUCGGUGAGGUAACCUUUUGGAGCCAGCCGCCUAAGGUGGGAUAGAUGAUUGGGGUGAAGUCGUAACAAGGUAGCCGUAUCGGAAGGUGCGGCUGGAUCACCUCCUUU